CCUUCUGUAGGUGAACCUGCGGAGGGAUCAUUACUGA
RNAcentral lists this ribosomal RNA (37 nucleotides) under Colletotrichum gloeosporioides. RNAcentral describes it as "partial 18S ribosomal RNA". Lineage: Eukaryota; Fungi; Ascomycota; Sordariomycetes; Glomerellales; Glomerellaceae. The record is from RNAcentral.